RNAcentral lists this small RNA (30 nucleotides) under Bombyx mori (domestic silkworm). RNAcentral's name for it is "ovarian small RNA-15049". Lineage: Eukaryota; Metazoa; Arthropoda; Insecta; Lepidoptera; Bombycidae. The record is from RNAcentral.
GAAACUGGAAAGGCCUUCGGGCCACCAGUA